This 465-nucleotide ribosomal RNA is filed under the name Vreelandella stevensii. RNAcentral describes it as "partial 16S ribosomal RNA". It matches the Rfam family "Bacterial small subunit ribosomal RNA", at positions 338 to 795 of the family's 1533-position model. Lineage: Bacteria; Pseudomonadati; Pseudomonadota; Gammaproteobacteria; Oceanospirillales; Halomonadaceae. The record is from RNAcentral.
CCUACGGGUGGCAGCAGUGGGGAAUAUUGGACAAUGGGGGGAACCCUGAUCCAGCCAUGCCGCGUGUGUGAAGAAGGCCCUCGGGUUGUAAAGCACUUUCAGUGAGGAAGAACGCCUGGUGGUUAAUACCCAUCAGGAAAGACAUCACUCACAGAAGAAGCACCGGCUAACUCCGUGCCAGCAGCCGCGGUAAUACGGAGGGUGCGAGCGUUAAUCGGAAUUACUGGGCGUAAAGCGCGCGUAGGUGGCUUGAUAAGCCGGUUGUGAAAGCCCCGGGCUCAACCUGGGAACGGCAUCCGGAACUGUCAAGCUAGAGUGAAGGAGAGGAAGGUAGAAUUCCCGGUGUAGCGGUGAAAUGCGUAGAGUUCGGGAGGAAUACCAGUGGCGAAGGCGGCCUUCUGGACUGACACUGACACUGAGGUGCGAAGGCGUGGGUAGCAAACAGGAUUAGAUGCCCGUGUAGUC